RNAcentral lists this ribosomal RNA (439 nucleotides) under uncultured Phyllobacteriaceae bacterium. Its description in RNAcentral is "partial 16S ribosomal RNA". It matches the Rfam family "Bacterial small subunit ribosomal RNA", at positions 338 to 794 of the family's 1533-position model. The record is from RNAcentral. Lineage: Bacteria; Pseudomonadati; Pseudomonadota; Alphaproteobacteria; Hyphomicrobiales; Phyllobacteriaceae.
CCUACGGGAGGCAGCAGUGGGGAAUAUUGGACAAUGGGCGCAAGCCUGAUCCAGCCAUGCCGCGUGAGUGAUGAAGGCCCUAGGGUUGUAAAGCUCUUUCACCGGUGAAGAUAAUGACGGUAACCGGAGAAGAAGCCCCGGCUAACUUCGUGCCAGCAGCCGCGGUAAUACGAAGGGGGCUAGCGUCGUUCGGAUUUACUGGGCGUAAAGCGCACGUAGGCGGACUAUUAAGUCAGGGGUGAAAUCCCGGGGCUCAACCCCGGAGCUGCCUUUGAUACUGGUAGUCUUGAGUUCGAGAGAGGUGAGUGGAAUUCCGAGUGUAGAGGUGAAAUUCGUAGAUAUUCGGAGGAACACCAGGGGCGAAGGCGGCUCACUGGCUCGAUACUGACGCUGAGGUGCGAAAGCGGGGGGAGCAAACAGGAUUAGAUCCCCUGGUAGU